GAACUGAAGAGUUUGAUCCUGGCUCAGAUUGAACGCUGGCGGUAUGCUUAACACAUGCAAGUCGAACGGUAACAGGCCGCUGGGAUCCCUUCGGGGUGACCUUGGCGCUGACGAGUGGCGGACGGGUGAGUAAUACUUAGGA
This 142-nucleotide ribosomal RNA is filed under the name Gammaproteobacteria bacterium. Its description in RNAcentral is "partial 16S ribosomal RNA". It matches the Rfam family "Bacterial small subunit ribosomal RNA", at positions 1 to 122 of the family's 1533-position model. The record is from RNAcentral. Lineage: Bacteria; Pseudomonadati; Pseudomonadota; Gammaproteobacteria.